AGAAAUUAUGAUAGGUGCUGUGAUAGGUACAAAGAUGUCCCCCUGUCACAAGUGGGUGUAUAGAAAGUGGCAGGGCUCCCUGUCUUCUCCGGUCUGAAAAGAUUUAUUUGGCCCCAGGCUUACUGUAUUUUCACAUGUAGGAAGACUUUAGCAGAAGAAAACUGUCUGCAAAGCCAGUGCCCUGUGGAAUUAUAAACAAAUGUGACAAGCUGAAUGAGCUUGGUCAAGGCCAAAUUUCUUCAUCGUGGAUAAUCUAGAUGAUGUUACCUGUCCUGGGGACUGCUGUGAGAAUUAGCAAAAAUAAAUGUAAAAGAGGCAGAAGGGAUAUGGCUGGAGGCUCUGGAGGCAGACAGCCAGGGUUCAAAUCCUGGUUCCUCAUCUAAUAGCUACUGCUGUCUCAGCUUCGUUAUCUCACCUCUCUGUGCCUCAGUUUCCUCAUGAAGAGAACAGGGGUAGUAAUCGUGUCUCCUCAUAGGGCUGACCUGAGAAUUAAAUGGGAGAGAAAAUAUAUGGCUUGCACAGCAGUGCUUGCUGUAUGGAAAGCAUUUAAUCAGAGCCAGCUUCCACCAUUACCAUCCUAUCAUCAUCGCCACCUUCGUCACCAGGCUCAGGUCCCAACACGAGAAUGAACAAAUCCCCUCAUGUACCGUAACCGUGUAGUUAGGUUGCUCUGGAACCGCCAUGCCCUGGGACUGUGAGGAAUAGACAUACAGAAUAAAGAGAAUUGUGAGGAGCACAGUGGCUAUAGACUCUGUGUGAAAAGGGUCAGGGAUCUUAUCUCACUUCCAACCCCAUCUCCUUUUCCCUGCUUUACUGGGGAAAUGACCUUGAAGGAGGAACAAGUGCACUCUGAUAGAUAGAACUGCUUUGGCCACAGCCCAGCCCCACCACCCAGGCACAGAGGAGAGCUCUCUGAUGUCUCUUGAAUGAUUUAGCUUUAUUGGCUCUUGUGUCUCUCUCCAAAUUGCCUUCAGGAUGAAUGUCGUGGCCAGAACCCAUAGAGGACACCAGCUUCCCAAGCAGCUCACAAGAUGCGGAUACUCUCUCCGUUUAUGAAACAGGCUUCAAAUUGGCCAUUAGUGGAGGCUGUAUUUUGCACCUCGUGAAGAGGAAAUGAUACUGCAUUAGAAGUUCUGCACUGUGGCUUAGGCAGUGCAUUAGAGCUUUUUGUAGCUGCCUGUAUUCCUGGCCUUGUGGCUUCUUCUCCAUCUUCAAAGCACAUGACUGCAGUCCGUCUGCUUCUCCCUAUACAAGGAGACAUCCCCCGGAUAAUCCAGCAUUAUCUUCCCAUCUCAAGAUCCUUCGUGCAAAGGAUCCUUUUUGUCAUCUAAGGAGAAAGCACAUCCGUCCUAAGAAGAAGGCUGGUUCAUAAUCACGAGGGUGUGCAUUGCCUAUGCAAUUGAAGCAAUUGGAAGUUGAAGGAAGGGUCAAGUUGUUGACCCUGAAAAUGUGUCUGUGUAUAGCAAAUCAACAGAGGAGUUCAUGUUCACAGAGCAGUGUUCACAUAUCCAAAAGCAGCACAUAAAACCACAUCUUCUCUUUCUGAGUCCAACUUGCGAAUCGGAAGCCAUUUCUGUGGAGGCAGAACUCCAUCCAUGAUGCAACAGGUGAGGAAUAGCUUCAUAAUUUUCAGAUUAGCAGACUUUCUCUGCUAAUGUCUCACUAAUUACCAUGUAGACUUAGCAUUGAACCAUAAUUAUUAUCAGUUAAUUAGACCUUAAAAUGUAUCUUUGAUAACACCUCUGGCAUUUAAUUAUGUAACUGGUAACUUAUGAAUGUUAUUAAGGGGAUAUAUGACUACACUAACGUGUAAUUAGAUCUCGUUUUUGUUUCUUGAUAUCAUAUUGAUUCUGAUAAUAGGGUUGGAGUUUUUACAGCUUAUAUGAAAAUGGUCAUAUUAAAUUGAUAGUCUAUAAAACAAAUGCACGUGUUAGCAAAUAUUUAAUAAGCAUAUUAAAAGAAAGAGUCUGUGGGAGAAAGAAAAGUGGAGAUUAUUCUUGGUAUCAUUUUAAAAAGUUCAUAGCAAAUACAUUGCCUGUUUUCAAGGCCACUUUCUGCCUAAAAACAAAUAGCAUUCAAGAAUUUAUGUAAUAAAAGAAAUUAGUUCCUACUGUUGGAAAACAGAAAAAAAAAACCUACCAAACUGUUUUCAAUAUUGUGAGAGUAACAAAUACGUGUCCCCAAAGCUUUAUGCACCUCGACUCAUUUUUUGAAUGUCCUAUUGUCAUUUAGGAAAUGUUCAGCAAUCUUUUUGUAAAAUGAAGAAUCUCUUUUUAAAAUAAUGUGGCUAAUUUCCUCUCUUUGUGGGAGAAUUAAAGUCAGCUAAAAAUCAGAUUGUCUAGUUAGAUUUUCUGGUAGAUUUCAAGCCCCUUGAGGGCAAUGUUCUGUCCCUUUUACACCUUAUUAUCAUUUACAAUUCCUAAUGUGGUGGUUUGCACAGCGUAGGUAUUUUUUCAGCUUUAUUGAGGUAUAGCUGACAAAUAAAAUUGUUAGAUAUUUAAAGUAUACAUCGUGAUGAUUUGAGAUACAUACACAUCGUGAGAGGGUUCCUCUCAUCUAGUUAAUUAACACAUCCACUUUCUCACAUAUUUAUCUUGUUUUGUUUGUGUGUGAGAACACUUAAGGUUUACUCUCUUACCAAAUUUCAAUUAGACAAUACAAUGUUAAUGAACUUUUGUCAUCAUGUUAUCCAUUAGAUGUUCAGAGAUGUUAUUCAUCUUAUAGCUGAAAAUUUGUACCCUUUUGCCAACCUCUUCCUAUUUCCCCAUCCCGGCAGGCCCUGGCAACCACUUUUCUACUCUCUAUGUCUUUGAGUUUGGCUCUACAUACGAGUUUGAUUCUAUGUAUCAAUGAUACCAUGGAGUAUUUGUCUUUGUGUUAUCUCACUUAGCAUACUGUUCUUAAAGUUCACUCAUGUUGUCAUAAAUGGCAGGCUGUCCUUCUUUCUCAAGGCUGAAUAAUAUUCCAUUGUGUGUAUAUACCACAUGUACUUUACCCAUUCACCUGUUGUUGGACACUUAGAUUGUUUCUAUAUCCUGGCUAUUGUGAAUAGUGCUGCCAUGAACACGGGAGUGAGAUAUUACAAUAUUCUGUUUUCAUUUCCUUUGGAUAUAUACCAGAAGUGGGAUUGCUGGAUCAUAUGGUAUGAAUAUUCAUUGCCUGUUGAGUAAGAGAAAUUGGAGGGAAUUAAAGAAACUCUGCUAUAUCUACUUUCUCUCCAAAAUGUGGAUGAUGAAACAUGCCUUAGGAAAACAAGUAAAGAUUCUGGUGUGGAAAGGGUACUCAGAGCCUGGUGAACUGAUGGAUACUUAGUCACAGAGGAGAUUGUGGGAUUUAGAAUAAGUCUAAAACAAAUAGAUGGAUUGGUUGAUUUAUAUAGUUUUAACUCCAUAUCCUGAUUUGUAAUAAAAAUGUAAUAAAUUAGCUGGGAUUGUGGGUACUAUUUGACAUGUAACAUAGAGUAAAAGUUAUUAUCAGAGAUAAAGUUUUCUCUAAGUGA
This is a long non-coding RNA of Felis catus (domestic cat), 3499 nucleotides long. RefSeq lists it as uncharacterized. The transcript has 4 exons. The record is from RefSeq and is a predicted model, not a curated record. NCBI's taxonomy places the organism in Eukaryota, Metazoa, Chordata, Mammalia, Carnivora, Felidae.